Molecule: transfer RNA, 72 nt
Filed under: Verrucomicrobiota bacterium
Lineage: Bacteria; Pseudomonadati; Verrucomicrobiota
Also listed under: 2 other names
Description: tRNA-Val
Rfam family: tRNA
About the family: Transfer RNA (tRNA) molecules are approximately 80 nucleotides in length. Their secondary structure includes four short double-helical elements and three loops (D, anti-codon, and T loops). Further hydrogen bonds mediate the characteristic L-shaped molecular structure. tRNAs have two regions of fundamental functional importance: the anti-codon, which is responsible for specific mRNA codon recognition, and the 3' end, to which the tRNAs corresponding amino acid is attached (by aminoacyl-tRNA synthetases). tRNAs cope with the degeneracy of the genetic code in two manners: having more than one tRNA (with a specific anti-codon) for a particular amino acid; and 'wobble' base-pairing, i.e. permitting non-standard base-pairing at the 3rd anti-codon position.
Source: RNAcentral
GGGCAGUUAGCUCAGUGGUAGAGCGGCUCGUUUACACCGAGUUGGUCGGGGGUUCAAAUCCCUCACUGCCCA